CAGCCGCCGCGGGAAUACGGAGAGAGCUAGCGUUGUUCGGAAUUACUGGGCGUAAAGCGCGCGUAGGCGGUUACUCAAGUCAGAGGUGAAAGCCCGGGGCUCAACCCCGGAACUGCCUUUGAAACUAGGUGACUAGAAUCUUGGAGAGGUCAGUGGAAUUCCGAGUGUAGAGGUGAAAUUCGUAGAUAUUCGGAAGAACACCAGUGGCGAAGGCGACUGACUGGACAAGUAUUGACGCUGAGGUGCGAAAGCGUGGGGAGCAAACAGGAUUAGAUACCCCAGUAGUCCCUGUCUCUUAUAC
RNAcentral lists this ribosomal RNA (301 nucleotides) under uncultured bacterium. RNAcentral's name for it is "partial 16S ribosomal RNA". It matches the Rfam family "Bacterial small subunit ribosomal RNA", at positions 509 to 807 of the family's 1533-position model. The record is from RNAcentral.